GACGAACGCUGGCGGCGUGCUUAACACAUGCAAGUCGAACGCUGAAGCUCAGCUUUUGUUGGGUGGAUGAGUGGCGAACGGGUGAGUAACACGUGAGUAACCUGCCCCCUUCUUUGGGAUAACGCCCGGAAACGGGUGCUAAUACUGGAUAUUCACUGGUCUUCGCAUGGGGGUUGGUGGAAAGGGUUUUUCUGGUGGGGGAUGGGCUCGCGGCCUAUCAGCUUGUUGGUGGGGUGAUGGCCUACCAAGGCUUUGACGGGUAGCCGGCCUGAGAGGGUGACCGGUCACAUUGGGACUGAGAUACGGCCCAGACUCCUACGGGAGGCAGCAGUGGGGAAUAUUGCACAAUGGGCGCAAGCCUGAUGCAGCGACGCCGCGUGAGGGAUGGAGGCCUUCGGGUUGUGAACCUCUUUCGCUCAUGGUCAAGCCGCAACAAUGGUUGUGGUGAGGGUAGUGGGUAAAGAAGCGCCGGCUAACUACGUGCCAGCAGCCGCGGUAAUACGUAGGGCGCGAGCGUUGUCCGGAAUUAUUGGGCGUAAAGGGCUUGUAGGCGGUUGGUCGCGUCUGCCGUGAAAUCCUCUGGCUUAACUGGGGGCGUGCGGUGGGUACGGGCUGACUUGAGUGCGGUAGGGGAGACUGGGAACUCCUGGUGUAGCGGUGGAAUGCGCAGAUAUCAGGAAGAACACCGGUGGCGAAGGCGGGUCUCUGGGCCGUUACUGACGCUGAGGAGCGAAAGCGUGGGGAGCGAACAGU
This 753-nucleotide ribosomal RNA is filed under the name uncultured Actinomyces sp. Its description in RNAcentral is "bacterial SSU rRNA". It matches the Rfam family "Bacterial small subunit ribosomal RNA", at positions 28 to 776 of the family's 1533-position model. Lineage: Bacteria; Bacillati; Actinomycetota; Actinomycetes; Actinomycetales; Actinomycetaceae. The record is from RNAcentral.